GUGCAGUCUAUCUUUCAUAUAGUCUCUUAUUGGAGCAUUGACUAAGGGUUAACGUGAUAAAAGAAAGCAAGCAAACGGGUCCAAACGCGGAGUACCAAUAAAUAUUUGCAAAGCUGUACUGCAACACAAGAAAUUGCGUGAUCGCAGCCAUACCCAAGGAAAAAACUAUGUAAGUCAUCACCAUCAGCUUGUUUAUGUGCUCUCCCAGCGAUUUCCAUAACCUUUGACUUGCUCCAGCUGAUUUCAUCUUAAGUCUGACAACAUUCUAAUUUUAUCGCAUGGCUUAAUUUCCUGCCGUCUUUGACUGCACUUCACUUCUCUUGGCACCCAGUUUUUAACUCUAAUGCACCUCCCGUCGUCUGCUCCACGCAUUACGUGGACCGUCCAGAUCCAUCGUUUCCUCUUAAUGUUUACUAGAAUAUUGGCUACGCGAUGUUUGCUAACUAAUCCAUAUCGCUGUCUUCUUGUCUCUGAACAAUAUUCUUAACAUUUUUCUUCCCAAGUUUGUGUGUUAAUCCUCAAGUGUCUGCUCCGUAUAUUGGUGCCCAUACCCUUUUCAAGGAUAGCUGUGAGCUAUCGGUUAUGAUUUCGUAAAGCGUACCAUAUGGGGUCCUACUGAUCUCACUUUCCCGUAAAUUUACCUGCCGUGAUCAAAGCCGGUUACAUUUCCUUAAUGUAAUGCACACUAAUAUUCAACCUUCGUCUUGCUCUGUCGGCUCAGCUGUACCAUAGCAGUCAUACAUUACGUUACUUACGAAUUCACAUAAUGGAAAAAUUACACAGCGUAAUCAUAUACAGGUUAUAUUUUCGGCACCAUUAAUCUGGUGGGGUUAGAAUUCAGCCUUCUAUCAAAAUUAAUCGCAAGCACCUUCGUCCUUACGUGGCAUUAAUGGAAGGGGAAAUCUGACAUUCGACAAUCAGUUAUCAGGCCUCACGUAGGAAAAUUUCCACGCUGCUUUAAGCAAUGGUCUAAUGAGCCUGAGCUAAAUCUCUGAAGAAUAUAAUGUCGGCAUCCAGUUUGCAGGUAUACAAAAGCCAUCGCCGAAAGUAGAAAGAAACUCGUAUCUUGCACUUUCAUAAUAAACAAAUAAGGCGAGAGAUAAUUGACGUAAAAAACUCCUGCAGUCGCGUUUGAGAUGUGUUAGCAUCGCAUAGCUUCGGUUGUUUUAUCCCGCCAGCAAAUGCACUAUCGUGGCCUUCGUGGCACUGUGGCCUAGGCCAUUCUGCACAACCAACUAUUUUCACCUUAACCGGAAUGAUUGAUUUUUUUGGCUUUUGGCACUGGGCUCGUUGCUUCGCUUGCGUUCGCCUGUAUCUCGUACACAGCCGAGAGCGUUUCCGGGGCUGUGUGAAGCGCACUAUAUUCGCGCAGUGUCAAGAGUGAAAUCUCGCAAAAGUGAAACUAUCUCCGUAAGAAAUCGCCCCCUAUUGCACCCCUAACUUUGCAAGAUGAAAACAGAAAAGUAAAAACAUACUACCAAUGCCGGACACAAAUAAGGCUUGUCGUCCUGUCUGUUACUAGAUUGCACCUGGCGCAGUAAUGCGCGAAGCACGCGUGGUUAGGAGUGGCAAUGUCUUUUUCUCCACUACACAGACACAUAAGAAAGUAUGAUGUCAUAAUGAGUUAAAAUUCUUGUAGUACUCAAGAUUCCUGAUGAAUUAAAUUUUUCGGGGCAUCUUGAUGGCGUUUCACGAUUUAUGCUGCGCAAAAUAGAACCUCAAGGUUUCGUGUGCCCCACCUUUGUCUGUGCUCCUCACAUACGUGUGCAAUGUUUUUUUUUCUUUAUUUCAUUGGUGCCCCGAUUAAACGGCAUAAAGUAGGCCUGAUCCUGCCGUGCACACAUCUUUUGGGUAAAGACGAUGUUGGCCUUUCGUGCAUCAUCACCAGGACCAACGUGUGAGGUAGCACGGUGGCCGACUCUAUUAGCCAGACAAGCAAGAUCUGGUGGUCAGCUGUUCUGGAGCCUUGGUGCCUCCCUCGUCCUGUGGACUUGGUGGCCAGCUUUUCUAGCAACCUGGUAUCACGUUGCCCACUCUGCGCGCCUGGUUACCAGGUGUUCUAGCAGCCUGGUAUGUUGGUUCCCGCCUUGAGGACCAAGUGGAUCGCAGUUCUGGUGGCCCGGUUUUUUGCUGCUUGUUCUGCGGACCUGGUGGUCAGCUAUUCUGGCGGCCUGGUUUGCUGAUCAGAUUUUAGCGCCCGCGUUAUCCAAUAACAGCAGGCAAGAGCUUAUUUCAUUCUAUCUGAAUUACGUCAUAAUAUAUGGCUAGUUGGGCGAGAUGGUGGGUUGGAAUUUUCAAUAUUAGUGACUGUGCUCAGUUCGUUUCUUAUAUUGAUUUCCGCAAUUUCCUUGUAAUUAAACGCCACCUUCGCCUGCAUCACAGGCGAUGUAGGCAGCACUGAUAUCGUGGUUUGCUUUUGGCCAGGCUUCCCUUUCACCAUUGUAUAUACCUGUGCUUGCACGCAAGAGUGCUUACCUGCUUUAGUUAUGCAUUUUAGUUUGUACCGUCCUAACGAAACAACUAUGCUUCUUUACACUUUUUUAAAGAAGCCAUGAUGUGCCUGAAAGUAUGCUGGCCGCUCAUUUAUCCCCUUGAAUCUUGGUUCAAGCAAAGUGGGGAGGGACAGCAAGGCCAAGUUUUGCUUCCCAGCAGAUGAGGUAAGCAGGCACUUUGAAUGUGUUUUGAAGUGAGUACGCUCAAUGAAAUUUCGGAGUAGCAGCCAUACGCGAAGUGCUUUCCACUGCUCCUUGCUACAGACGUUUUCUUUCACGGGAAGUAGGUCUAUCAAGAGUUUUAAAAAAUGCACUACAGCUGCGUUUCAGCGCAGCACGCCACUGAAUUUUAUGUCAACGUGCCGGAAAAAAUAACCUGAGCUUUUGUCAUUGCGGAAAGUAAUCAAAACUUUCUUUUAAUUGUAUUCUGUGACUGCUGCAGGCUGAUUUAUUUGCGACGUUUAGCCUUGUUUAUGUCUAUUUCUGUCUUAGUACCAUCAGUGUAAGAAUACUGUGAAUCAGUGAAACGCUAAGAACAAAAAGUUCUACAGAACGAAAAAAUCAUACAAGUUUAUAGCACACAGGUUGGAAAGCAUUUGAAGUGAAUAUAUUUAAACACAAUAGCACUAACGGCGAUAUAUAAAGUUGUUUGGUUUCAUCCUAUUCAACAAGUAGAAUCAGGCAGUGGUUAUGCACUUGCUUUAUAGAAUGCAUUUCUCUUUGUGUAUGUGCACUACACCAUUCAGGAGCUAUUACCAAAUGGAAACACUAGAUCUGAUGUUUGUGUAGCAAUUUCAUGACUGCGAAAUUCUAUGCUUGUCGAGGGAAGAAUGCAUGUGGCUGGCGUAUGCAUAGAGAAGUAGGCCACAUUUGUAAUCUCGCGUAUUCGGGGCAUAUUCGAUGCAGUUGUAAUUUUGAGAAAGUGCGUUUCUACAGCGUUGCUUAGACGGUCACCGAAGGUCAUGUACCCUUUGUUCUUGCAGCUAGGAGCUCGGGUCCCAGAGCAUACUUGAAGAUCGGUCUUUUGUUAUGAGUAUUUUCUGGAUUUUGUCAACGCACGUGGUUAAAAUGAGAAUACAUCGCUUUUCCCGUGCCCAUGCUGCAUUAAUAAUGGUUCCAGCGAAUUGUAUGUUCUAUUUCUGCCAUGUGUGUGUCUUUUGUGUGUUCAAUUUGGAUUUUCUGUGUUAUAAGUUCACUUCUAUUUGUAACUCCGUUUUCACUUCUAUUGUCCCAUCGAACUUUGGGAGUCAAUUGUGGACCACACUUAUUUCGUAACGAUAAUCUGUCAGUCUAUUUAUCUAUAAACCUAACAGUGCUAUUAACGUGCCGAGGAACAACCUAGUGGUCUUGAGUAAUAAUCAGCAAUAGCAACGCUUUGUGCAUGACAAUAAAUAACGGUGAAGUGACGUUGACAUGACGUGAUGAUUACUACGUCGGUGGUGGCAUUACUACUUAACUGCUGUGGCAGGAAAAAGUGGGAACUCCAAGCAUGUAUAGCGCAUGCGUCGGCAUUGAGGAUGGUGUUAGAGCAGCAGUGGCGGCAGCAGCAGCAGCGCAUGGUAUAUAAUGUUUAUGGUUGCAACCUCUAUGGAAAUAGUGUUUUUGCUUCUUGAGACUUUUUCCGGGCUUGGUCGGUGGUCUAGGUCGGUAUGGAAAGCGCUGGUUCGUUCGUUAGUUGUCUCGUUCAUUGUUUCGUUCGUUGAUUCGUUUUUUCGUUGAUUCGUUUUUUCGUUGAUUCGUUUUUUUGUUGAUUCGUUAUUUCGUUGAUUCGUUAUUUCGUUGAUUCGUUCGUCCAUUAAUUUGUUCGUUCGUUGGUUCGUUCGUUCGUUCGCUUGUUGAUUCGUUAAUUAGUUCGCGCUUUCGUUUGCUCUUUCAACAGUUCCUGUAUUUCGUCGUUGAUUAUUGGUGAAUCGUUAGUGCGCUACUUCGUUGAUUAGUUCGUUCUUUUGCUCGUUGGUUCGUUCGGUCGUUCGGGCUAUUAGCUUCCACUGAAAAUUAUCGUGAAUGGUUUCUGCGCAACUUUUCCGUGCCACAGCAAUUAAGUAGUAAUGCCACCGACGCCAUGAACACAACCGCAUUGUCGUCGUAUCACCGCCGCCUUGUAACCUUGUGCUUGUCGUGUUCACUAUGUCGGUGUCGUCGUUCUGUACCUGUCAUCGUCGCCGCGCCCUCAUCAUCGGCGCAGUUUGCACCCUUUGGGGUGUAAAUUUGUCCCACAACCAUAAUCGUCAUCUGCCUUGCUUGCGUUUCCUUUCUUGAAAACUCGGCGCUCGCUACUUUCCUGUCGAGAAUGCUGCGUCGCACUGAUAACGCGCAUGCCGUUCGUGACUGGUAAGUACCGGGCUCGCAGCGCUAAAGAAAGGAAACGUGGGCAAGACAGAUGACGAUUAUUGUUGUGGGCAAAUAUACACCCCAAAGGGUGCAACUGUUUUUAGAGUGUACCGUAUCUUAUCGCCCCUUGUCGAGCGUUGCAGUCAUCAUCGUCGCUGUCGUGUCGUCGCUUUGCAGCGGUCGUCCUCUUGACGGUAAAAUUCAAGAUUAUUCAACAUGUCAGUGAUGUUGGCAGCGAAAAGGACAAAAAGAACACAAUAGAAGUUUGACACGAGAUCUCUGCGCCCUAUAGAAACUUGGUAACGGGUUCAUUGACGUAAAACAAAGUGCAGUAAAAUAACACAGCGGUACGGAAGCUUUGAAAGUAAAAAGAUAAACAUAUUUUGACAGUAAUAAUAUGAAAAAUAUGGUAUUAAACAAUUCAGUAAUGAAGUAAUACAUUGACAGUAAUUAGGUAGCAAUUCAGUAAUCACGGUAAUAAAAAAGCACAGUAAUAAAGUUUCCACAGAGAUCGUUGACAUAGAAUGGAAACAAGCAAGUAAAAACACUAGAAUUUGGUUCGCCGCCAGUAGCUGCCACAAAGAUCAACAAGCAUUAACGAAGUGAUUAAACAAGAGGGGUAGCGCGUAGGAUAACUCGUGAAUACGACAAGUUCUAACCCUGGGAACAAACCAAACGUUACUGCUAUGGGUGUUGUAAAUAGGUAUCGUGAGCUUUAAGUUGCCAGUGAUUGUGAGGAUUGACGAAUACUGUUCAAGACCUGAACGAUAGCGAUUCAUUAAAGCUUUUCCGCAGAGUAGUGGAACGGCAGUAAUAUUGAGCUACUAAAAAAAUAGGCGUAGUGUGACUGCCGUAAGGCGCACCAGCAACAUGGAUUAUAGCGCGUUUUUGUAUGACAAGCAGGUGGUGAAUUUUUGAGAAUAUAGUAGUGCCCCGCCCCUAAGAAAGAGUAGUGAAUAACGGACUUAAAGAAUUGUUGAGAAUUCUUUUGACAGAGCGAUACUACCCAGGGCAAUUUACCUAGAAUGCUUUCAAGCUUCAAACUUUACUUGAGACUAUUACAGCAUGUUCAUUCCAGGACGUAUCUUGCUCAAAUAGUGCACCCAGGUUUUUUUUUUUUUCAUUACAGAAACAGUUUGAUUGAAGAAUCGAUGCUAAGCAGAAUGUUAAGAUUCACUGACACGUCUAUAUAUUAGUCUGAAGAUCACGGAUUGUGUUAUUUUUUUCCACAUUAAUGAUUAAACGAUUUGACAUGGCCCAUCUGUUCACUAAAUCAAGGCACGCUGUACCUUGUCGCAAUAAAUCCUUAUUCCUGUGUUGCAGCAAGGUAAGGUAUUUCAAUGCUCUCUAUGUGGUGAGGAAACUUUCGCGUAGACGUGAUAUAGACGUCAGAAAACCGACUUUCUCAUUUUAUAAGGGGACGCCACACGGAAAAUACUGUGAUAUCGCAAUGCAUUAUGUAACCGCGCAAACACCAACGGACGAAGAAGGAAACGCACAGGAGAUGCGCGGAACUUCCGCGCUUGUCCUGUGUGUUGUCCUGUGUGUUGUCCUGUGUGCUGUCCUGUGUGUCCUCCCUCUUCAAUAUACUGUGAGUUGUAUCAGUAAAUUAAGUUUCUGUACGACCAUCAAACGCCAAUAUUACUGUGCGAAAAACGCUUGGCAAGCCAGAAAAGCAAAAAAAAAAAAAAAUGCGGCUGGUGACGCUGUUGCGCAGUUUCCGCAACAAUUUGCCCGCGACGUCAUGGAUAUUUACGUCUGCUCGGCCGUAUCGUUAACUUGUUGCUGGUAGAGCUGAACCAUAUCGCAUUCUGAAGAGCCAGACACUAAGUGCCAUUUUAUAACAUGUAUUGCUUAUUUUUUCAAAAACAACUACUGCGAGCUGUACUUAAUCUUUAACACAUUAAAGAUUAUACUGUAACGUUUAUACCCUUGUGUUUCGAACUUGGUUCCACCUCUCAAAACAUCAGAACAGGGCCCUACAAAAGUAGCUUUGUUUCAACCUUUUUGAAAGUGUCCGGCAAAAAUUUCGAUCAAUCAAUUAAUCGAUGACAAACCCUGCAUCAAAAGCGAUUAACCAUUGAAGGCUAAAGUGAUGAAUGAUUAGUCGCGAAUCGAAUGUCAGCGUUAUGUGUUCUCAUCUGUUUCUUCGGGCUUUUUACUUACGCAUGCGAUGUUAUUUCUUUUCUUUUUUCAUCGGUGCCGAGAACGAGUGGGGCGAAAUCGACAGGGUCGUGUCGUGCCCGCAUCUCUUGAGCAAAGGUGAUGCUGGCCUUUCGUGCGUCAUCACCACGUCAAGCGUGUGAGGCAGCACGGCGUCUCACUGUACGAUUCAGGCGAGCAAGGCCUUGCUGUGCGACAAGGCCGGCGUUGCCGGUGGCCUGCUGUUCUAGCAGCCUGGUGCCCUGGUGGCCGCGCUGUGGAUCUGGUGGCCAGCUGAUCUAGCGAUCUGGUGACCCCAUGCCUGUUCUGCUGACUUGGUGACCAGCUGUUCUGCGGACCUGGUGACCAGCUGUUCUAGCAGACUGGUGUCUCAAUACCAGCCCUGUGGAUCUGGUGCCCAGCUGGUCUAGCAACGUGAUUCUCGAUGCGUGCCCUGCUGACCUGGUGGUUAGCGGUUCUACCAGCCUGGUGUCUUGAUGCACGCCCUAUUGAUCUGGUGGCCAGCUCACGAAGCUCUCUGCCUGCCCUGAGAGUGGCCAGGCCUUCUGGCAACGGGCGCUGCCUGGCGGCCCAGCUUGCGGAUGCGGUGGUCAGCUGGUAUCUCGGAGUCCAACCUGGUAUCUCGGAGUCCAAUCUGGUAUCUCGGAGUCCACCCUUGCUGCCUGGCAUGCAGCGGUUCUCGCUGCGCGCCAUGUCGACCUCGUGGCCAUCUGUUCUCGUCGCGUCUUCCGCUGCUCAUCAGAAGAUAGCGCGUGCGUUAAGGAAUCGCAGAGCAGCGUGCUCACCGUAAGCGGCUAUGAUGGCCAAAAUUUACCCACCACGGACUUGGAACGACAAUUCCUCGAUCGGGAGCACCUUGCGGCCAGACUGUCGAACAGCCGUUGACCCAGGC
This is a long non-coding RNA of Dermacentor albipictus, 7878 nucleotides long. RefSeq lists it as uncharacterized. NCBI's taxonomy places the organism in Eukaryota, Metazoa, Arthropoda, Arachnida, Ixodida, Ixodidae. The record is from RefSeq and is a predicted model, not a curated record.